Molecule: ribosomal RNA, 119 nt
Filed under: Choloepus hoffmanni (Hoffmann's two-fingered sloth)
Lineage: Eukaryota; Metazoa; Chordata; Mammalia; Pilosa; Megalonychidae
Source: RNAcentral
GUCUACGGCCAUACCAGCCUGAAUGCACCCAGUCUCGUCUGAUCUCGGAAGCUAAGCAGGGUCGGGCCGGGUUAGUACUUGGAUGGGAGACCACCUGGGAAUACCGGGUGCCGUAGGCU